UAUAUUUUUUCAUAAUCAUCUCACUUCUCAUCUUUUUUUCUUGCGAUUUAUUUCAAAUCACCUUAUUUCUCAAUUACAAUUACAAAUUGCGAUUUAGAUUUACAGAUUGUGAUUUAUUUUUUACAACUCAUACAUUUACAGAUUGCGGUUUAUUUUUUCUUGAAAAUAACCAUGGAUUCUUCAACCAUCUCAUUCCCUGUGGCGUUUUCUCUCCAUUUGUGUUUGCGGUUCGUGUUUGCGGUUCACAAAAGAUAGAGAAACCAAAGCUUCGAACCAUCCUCCCUAUUUUCUCGACAUGGUGAUGCUAACAAGUUAACUCGAUUUUUUGGUGAAAUUUGUUGUUCUGCUUAUGGAUUGAUGGUUGAUCUUCAGUUAAAAAGAUCCAUCUCCAACGUUAGGAUCUAGAUCUAAAUGGGUUUGUCAUGGCUGUGAGAUUUGCAAACAAAUACAUUUUCAAUGGAGUUGUCGAUUUUCUUAGUUUGGAUUUUUCAUAUAUUUGUACUUUGAUUUAUUCAACUUUGUAAGAUAAUAUAGAAACUCAUAUGUACUCCGUAUUUGAUUAAUAAUAAUAAAAAAGUUAAGUAUUUCAAGA
Spinacia oleracea (spinach) is the source of this 592-nucleotide long non-coding RNA. RefSeq lists it as uncharacterized. Lineage: Eukaryota; Viridiplantae; Streptophyta; Magnoliopsida; Caryophyllales; Amaranthaceae. The record is from RefSeq and is a predicted model, not a curated record. The transcript is spliced from 3 exons.